UACAGAGGGUGCGAGCGUUGUUCGGAAUUAUUGGGCGUAAAGCGCACGUAGGCGGAUUGUUAAGUCAGGGGUGAAAUCCUGGAGCUCAACUCCAGAACUGCCUUUGAUACUGGCGAUCUCGAGUCCGGGAGAGGUGAGUGGAACUGCGAGUGUAGAGGUGAAAUUCGUAGAUAUUCGCAAGAACACCAGUGGCGAAGGCGGCUCACUGGCCCGGUACUGACGCUGAGGUGCGAAAGCGUGGGGAGCAAACAGG
Molecule: ribosomal RNA, 253 nt
Filed under: uncultured bacterium
Lineage: Bacteria
Description: partial 16S ribosomal RNA
Rfam family: Bacterial small subunit ribosomal RNA
Source: RNAcentral